GGGGCUUAAAGUCUUGUAAUUGGAAUGAUGGGAAUUUAAACCUCUUCCAGAGUAUCAAUUGGAGGGCAAGUCUGGUGCCAGCAGCCGCGGUAAUUCCAGCUCCAAUAGCGUAUAUUAAAAUUGUUGCAGUUAAAAAGCUCGUAGUUGAAUUUCUGCUGCAUUGCUUGUGUCCCUCUGGGGUCUGUGCAUGUGGCUUUUUUCGGACGGAGUUUCUUUGUCUGAAUGUUUACUUUGAGAAAAUUAGAGUGCUCAAAGCAGGCUUUCGCCUUGAAUAGUUUAGCAUGGAAUAAUAAAGUAGGACUUUGGUUCUAUUUUGUUGGUUUUAGGUACCAAAGUAAUGGUUAAUAGGAACAGUUGGGGGCAUUCGUAUUUAACUGUCAGAGGUGAAAUUCUUAGA
RNAcentral lists this ribosomal RNA (397 nucleotides) under Theileria annulata. Its description in RNAcentral is "SSU rRNA". It matches the Rfam family "Eukaryotic small subunit ribosomal RNA", at positions 487 to 924 of the family's 1831-position model. Lineage: Eukaryota; Apicomplexa; Aconoidasida; Piroplasmida; Theileriidae. The record is from RNAcentral.